This 301-nucleotide ribosomal RNA is filed under the name uncultured bacterium. Its description in RNAcentral is "partial 16S ribosomal RNA". It matches the Rfam family "Bacterial small subunit ribosomal RNA", at positions 509 to 807 of the family's 1533-position model. The record is from RNAcentral.
CAGUCGCCGCGGGAAUACGGGGGAUGCAAGCGUUAUCCGGAAUGAUUGGGCGUAAAGGGUCUGUAGGUGGGUUAGGAAGUCUUCAGUUAAAUGGCUGGGCUUAACCGAGUAGAAGCAGUAGAAACUCCUAGCCUAGAGUACGGUAGGGGCAGAGGGAAUUCCCGGUGUAGCGGUGAAAUGCGUAGAUAUCUGGAGGAAUACCGAUGGCGAAGGCAGCCAUCUGGCCUAAUACUGACGCUGAGGUACGAAAGCAUGGGGAGCAAACAGGAUUAGAUACCCCAGUAGUCCCUGUCUCUUAUAC